This 781-nucleotide ribosomal RNA is filed under the name Bacillus safensis. RNAcentral describes it as "bacterial SSU rRNA". It matches the Rfam family "Bacterial small subunit ribosomal RNA", at positions 37 to 796 of the family's 1533-position model. Lineage: Bacteria; Bacillati; Bacillota; Bacilli; Caryophanales; Bacillaceae. The record is from RNAcentral.
UGGCGGCGUGCCUAAUACAUGCAAGUCGAGCGGACAGAAGGGAGCUUGCUCCCGGAUGUUAGCGGCGGACGGGUGAGUAACACGUGGGUAACCUGCCUGUAAGACUGGGAUAACUCCGGGAAACCGGAGCUAAUACCGGAUAGUUCCUUGAACCGCAUGGUUCAAGGAUGAAAGACGGUUUCGGCUGUCACUUACAGAUGGACCCGCGGCGCAUUAGCUAGUUGGUGGGGUAAUGGCUCACCAAGGCGACGAUGCGUAGCCGACCUGAGAGGGUGAUCGGCCACACUGGGACUGAGACACGGCCCAGACUCCUACGGGAGGCAGCAGUAGGGAAUCUUCCGCAAUGGACGAAAGUCUGACGGAGCAACGCCGCGUGAGUGAUGAAGGUUUUCGGAUCGUAAAGCUCUGUUGUUAGGGAAGAACAAGUGCGAGAGUAACUGCUCGCACCUUGACGGUACCUAACCAGAAAGCCACGGCUAACUACGUGCCAGCAGCCGCGGUAAUACGUAGGUGGCAAGCGUUGUCCGGAAUUAUUGGGCGUAAAGGGCUCGCAGGCGGUUUCUUAAGUCUGAUGUGAAAGCCCCCGGCUCAACCGGGGAGGGUCAUUGGAAACUGGGGAACUUGAGUGCAAAAGAGGGGGAGUGGAAUUCCACGUGUAGCGGGUGAAAUGCGUAGAGAUGUGGGAGGAACACGAGUUUUCGAAGGCGACUCUCUCGUCUGUGACUCACUCUCAGGAGCGAGAACGUGGGGAGGGGAGACGGAUUAGAUACCCGGGUUGUCC